Molecule: small RNA, 543 nt
Filed under: Pan troglodytes (chimpanzee)
Lineage: Eukaryota; Metazoa; Chordata; Mammalia; Primates; Hominidae
Description: processed transcript
Source: RNAcentral
AGGAAGGAGGAGGAGGAAUCUCAGAUAAGCGGGUUGGGGAUAAUAGGCGGAAGAGCUCAGGGAGAAAAGAGUGAGGGGAGGUGAAGAGAAGCUGCCCUUCUUGUGGCUCGGAGCUUGGGGUUGAAGAGAAGAGGGGGAAAGGAAAUCCGAUUUCCAUCCAGUUGUUCCCCCCAGAGCUGGUGGAGCAUAUCAUCUCAUUCCUCCCAGUCAGAGACCUUGUUGCCCUCGGCCAGACCUGCCGCUACUUCCACGAAGUGUGCGAUGGGGAAGGCGUGUGGAGACGCAUCUGUCGCAGACUCAGUCCGCGCCUCCAAGAUCAGGGUUCUGGAGUCCGGCCCUGGAAGAGAGCUGCCAUUCUGAACUACACGAAGUGCCUGUAUUUCCAGGCAUUUGGAGGCCGCCGCCGAUGUCUCAGCAAGAGCGUGGCCCCCUUGCUAGCCCACGGCUACCGCCGCUUCUUGCCCACCAAGGAUCACGUCUUCAUUCUUGACUACGUGGGGACCCUCUUCUUCCUCAAAAAUGCCCUGGUCUCCACCCUCGGCC